Molecule: ribosomal RNA, 455 nt
Filed under: uncultured organism
Description: bacterial SSU rRNA
Rfam family: Bacterial small subunit ribosomal RNA
Source: RNAcentral
GUGCAGCAGGCGAGAAUUUUUCUCAAUGGGCGAAAGCCUGAAGGAGCGACGCCGCGUGGAGGAUGAAGGCUUUCGGGUCGUAAACUCCUGUCAUUUGAGAACAAGUGUAGCCAAAUAACUACUGGCUGCUUGAUAGUAUCAGAAGAGGAAGGGACGGCUAACUCUGUGCCAGCAGCCGCGGUAAUACAGAGGUCCCAAGCGUUGUUCGGAUUCAUUGGGCGUAAAGGGUGCGUAGGUGGCGCCGUAAGUGGGGUGUGAAAUUUCGGAGCUUAACUCCGAAACUGCAUUCCAUACUGCGGUGCUUGAGGACUGGAGAGGAGACUGGAAUUCAUGGUGUAGCAGUGAAAUGCGUAGAGAUCAUGAGGAAGACCAGUGGCGAAGGCGGGUCUCUGGACAGUUCCUGACACUGAGGCACGAAGGCCAGGGGAGCAAACGGGAUUAGAUGUCCGCGUAGU